This 641-nucleotide small RNA is filed under the name Histoplasma capsulatum G186AR. RNAcentral describes it as "hypothetical RNA". Lineage: Eukaryota; Fungi; Ascomycota; Eurotiomycetes; Onygenales; Ajellomycetaceae. The record is from RNAcentral.
CUACUUCCUCGCCAGAUGCCAGAUGAACAAAAAUGGCUCGGUGUCGCUCUUGUUGUCAUUUCUGUGGCCUGCAGAGCCCUUAUGUGCCAAUGGGUUCGUCAAUGGACUCCAGAUACUCCGCCGCACUCAUGAUCGUUCAGCACCAUGAUCAUUAGUUAUGAGAAGCUGUAGUUUUACAGGGAGUCAAUAUCCAUGCUCACUCCCCCACACCCCGGCCCGCAGAUUGAUCCUCCGUCCCCAACUUUCCGUAGGACCCACAUAGAAUGCUCAUCGAUGAUAAUUACCACAAGAAAAUAUCAUAGGACUGAUAUAUUUUUAACUGUUAAUAUCUGAUUUAUACUGACUCUGCUUCUAUUUCUCUCUUUUAUUUUUUUUCAACAGCUCAGUCACUCUUUUCUCUUCUCUUUUUUAUAUUUCUUCUUUUAUAUUUUACUCUCUCUUCUCAUCAUUCUCUUCAGUGUCCUCUUCACCCCCCCUCUUUUUUUUUUUUUCUUUUUCUGACAAUGUACUAACUACUUUCAGAUCUGUGUUAGAUUAUAUAAUUGUAUAAUAUUAGUUAUAGAUGGGUUGGGUUACAGUGUGUUUGAACUCAAUCCUCAUAAUAAUCUGAUUAUAUGCAGAGACACAGUCACUCAGUCAUC